UACGGAGGAUCCGAGCGUUAUCCGGAUUUAUUGGGUUUAAAGGGUGCGCAGGCGGGAGAUUAAGUCGGCGGUGAAAUUUUGCAGCUCAACUGUAAAAGUGCCUUCGAAACUGGUUUCCUUGAGUGUGGAUGAAGUAGGCGGAAUUUGUGGUGUAGCGGUGAAAUGCUUAGAUAUCACGAGGAACUCCGAUUGCGCAGGCAGCUUACUAAACCACUACUGACGCUCAGGCACGAAAGCGUGGGGAUCAAACAGGAUUAGAUACCCCGGUAGUCCCUGA
Molecule: ribosomal RNA, 277 nt
Filed under: uncultured prokaryote
Description: partial 16S ribosomal RNA
Rfam family: Bacterial small subunit ribosomal RNA
Source: RNAcentral